Molecule: non-coding RNA, 1847 nt
Filed under: Acinetobacter gerneri DSM 14967 = CIP 107464 = MTCC 9824
Lineage: Bacteria; Pseudomonadati; Pseudomonadota; Gammaproteobacteria; Moraxellales; Moraxellaceae
Description: Acinetobacter gerneri DSM 14967 = CIP 107464 Bacterial large subunit ribosomal RNA
Rfam family: Bacterial large subunit ribosomal RNA
Source: Rfam by way of RNAcentral
AGUCAAGUAAUUAAGUGCAUGUGGUGGAUGCCUUGGCAGUCAGAGGCGAUGAAAGACGUAAUAGCCUGCGAUAAGCUUCGGGGAGGCGGCAAAUAUCCUAUGAUCCGGAGAUUUCUGAAUGGGGAAACCCACCUACUAUAAGGUAGGUAUCAUAAACUGAAUACAUAGGUUUAUGAGGCGAACGAGGGGAAGUGAAACAUCUCAGUACCCUUAGGAAAAGAAAUCAAUUGAGAUUCCCUCAGUAGCGGCGAGCGAACGGGGAAGAGCCCAUUAAGUAAUGUGUGUUUUAGCGGAAUGCUCUGGGAAGUGCGACCGUAGAGGGUGAUAGUCCCGUACACGAAAGGGCACACAUUAUGAUGACGAGUAGGGCGAGGCACGUGAAACCUUGUCUGAAUAUGGGGGGACCAUCCUCCAAGGCUAAAUACUCCUGACUGACCGAUAGUGAACCAGUACCGUGAGGGAAAGGCGAAAAGAACCCCUGUGAGGGGAGUGAAAUAGAUCCUGAAACCGCAUGCAUACAAGCAGUGGGAGCCGACUUGUUCGGUGACUGCGUACCUUUUGUAUAAUGGGUCAGCGACUUAUAUUCAGUAGCAAGGUUAACCGCAUAGGGGAGCCGUAGAGAAAUCGAGUCUUAAUAGGGCGUAUAGUUGCUGGGUAUAGACCCGAAACCGGGUGAUCUAUCCAUGAGCAGGUUGAAGGUUGGGUAACACUAACUGGAGGACCGAACCCACUGUCGUUGAAAAGCCAGGGGAUGACUUGUGGAUAGGGGUGAAAGGCUAAUCAAACUCGGUGAUAGCUGGUUCUCCCCGAAAGCUAUUUAGGUAGCGCCUCGGACGAAUACCAUAGGGGGUAGAGCACUGUUUCGGCUAGGGGGUCAUCCCGACUUACCAAACCGAUGCAAACUCCGAAUACCUAUGAGUACUAUCCGGGAGACAGACUGCGGGUGCUAACGUCCGUAGUCAAGAGGAAAACAAUCCAGACCGCCAGCUAAGGCCCCAAAAUCAUAGUUAAGUGGGAAACGAUGUGGGAAGGCAUAGACAGCUAGGAGGUUGGCUUAGAAGCAGCCACCCUUUAAAGAAAGCGUAAUAGCUCACUAGUCGAGUCGGCCUGCGCGGAAGAUGUAACGGGGCUAAAACUAUGUGCCGAAGCUGCGGAUUUGACUUUAAGUCAAGUGGUAGGGGAGCGUUCUGUAAGCCGAUGAAGGUGUAUUGAGAAGUAUGCUGGAGGUAUCAGAAGUGCGAAUGCUGACGUGAGUAACGACAAAACGGGUGAAAAACCCGUUCGCUGAAAGACCAAGGGUUCCAGUCCAACGUUAAUCGGGGCUGGGUGAGUCGACCCCUAAGGCGAGGCCGAAAGGCGUAGUCGAUGGGAAAUUGGUUAAUAUUCCAAUACUUCUGUUUAAUGCGAUGAGAGGACGGAGAAGGUUAAGUCAGCCUGGCGUUGGUUGUCCAGGUGGAAGGAAGUAGGCAUGCAUCUUAGGCAAAUCCGGGGUGCUCUAUGCUGAGAUCUGAUAGCAAGCUAGUUUACUAGCGAAGUGGCUGAUACCAAGCUUCCAGGAAAAGUCUCUAAGCUUCAGUUAAACAGGAAUCGUACCCUAAACCGACACAGGUGGUCAGGUCGAGUAGACCAAAGCGCUUGAGAGAACUCUGCUGAAGGAACUAGGCAAAAUGGUACCGUAACUUCGGGAGAAGGUACGCUGUUGUUGGUGAUAGGACUUGCUCCUUGAGCUGAUGACAGCCACAGAAACCAGGCCGCUGCAACUGUUUAUUAAAAACAUAGCACUCUGCAAACACGAAAGUGGACGUAUAGGGUGUGAUGCCUGCCCGGUGCUGGAAGGUUAAUUGAUG